RNAcentral lists this ribosomal RNA (535 nucleotides) under Cryptosporidium canis. Its description in RNAcentral is "SSU rRNA". It matches the Rfam family "Eukaryotic small subunit ribosomal RNA", at positions 333 to 901 of the family's 1831-position model. The record is from RNAcentral. Lineage: Eukaryota; Apicomplexa; Conoidasida; Eucoccidiorida; Cryptosporidiidae.
GUAUUGGCCUACCGUGGCAAUGACGGGUAACGGGGAAUUAGGGUUCGAUUCCGGAGAGGGAGCCUGAGAAACGGCUACCACAUCUAAGGAAGGCAGCAGGCGCGCAAAUUACCCAAUCCUAAUACAGGGAGGUAGUGACAAGAAAUAACAAUACAGGACUUUAACAGUUUUGUAAUUGGAAUGAGUUGAGUAUAAACCCCUUUACGAGUAUCAAUUGGAGGGCAAGUCUGGUGCCAGCAGCCGCGGUAAUUCCGGCUCCAAUAGCGUAUAUUAAAGUUGUUGCAGUUAAAAAGCUCGUAGUUGGAUUUCUGUUAAUAAUUUAUAUAUAAUAUUUAACAUAUUUAUAUAAUAUUAACAUAAUUCAUAUUACUAUUUAUAGUAUAUGAAACUUUACUUUGAGAAAAUUAGAGUGCUUAAAGCAGGCUUUUGCCUUGAAUACUAGAGCAUGGAAUAAUAUUAAAGAUUUUUAUCUUCCUUAUUGGUUCUAAGAUAGAAAUAAUGAUUAAUAGGGACAGUUGGGGGCAUUUGUAUUUAA